RNAcentral lists this ribosomal RNA (468 nucleotides) under uncultured bacterium. Its description in RNAcentral is "partial 16S ribosomal RNA". It matches the Rfam family "Bacterial small subunit ribosomal RNA", at positions 28 to 507 of the family's 1533-position model. The record is from RNAcentral.
GACGAACGCUGGCGGCGUGCUUAACACAUGCAAGUCGAACGGAAAGGCCCUGCUUUUGUGGGGUGCUCGAGUGGCGAACGGGUGUGUAACACGUGAGUAACCUGCCCUUGACUUUGGGAUAACUUCACGAAACUGGGGCUAAUACCGGAUAGGAGCUCCUGCUGCAUGGUGGGGGUUGGUAAGUUUCGGCGGUUGGGGAUGGACUCGCGGCUUAUCAGCUUGUUGGUGGGGUAGUGGCUUACCAAGGCUUUGACGGGUAGCCGGCCUGAGAGGGUGACCGGCCACAUGGCGACUGAGAUACGGCCCAGACUCCUACGGGAGGCAGCAGUGGGGAAUAUUGCACAAUGGGCGGAAGCCUGAUGCAGCAACGCCGGGUGCGGGAUGACGGCCUUCGGGGUGUAAACCGCUUUGGCCUGUGACGAAGCGUGAGUGACGGUAAUGGGUAAAGAAGCACCGGCUAACUACGUG